GACGAACGCUGGCGGCGUGCUUAACACAUGCAAGUCGAACGGAAAGGCCCUGCUUUUGUGGGGUGCUCGAGUGGCGAACGGGUGAGUAACACGUGAGUAACCUGCCCUUGACUUUGGGAUAACUUCAGGAAACUGGGGCUAAUACCGGAUAGGAGCUCCUGCUGCGUGGUGGGGGUUGGAAAGUUUCGGCGGUUGGGGAUGGACUCGCGGCUUAUCAGCUUGUUGGUGGGGUAGUGGCUUACCAAGGCUUUGACGGGUAGCCGGCCUGAGAGGGUGACCGGCCACAUUGGGACUGAGAUACGGCCCAGACUCCUACGGGAGGCAGCAGGGGGGAAUAUUGCACAAUGGGCGGAAGCCUGAUGCAGCAACGCCGCGUGCGGGAUGACGGCCUUCGGGUUGUAAACCGCUUUCGCCUGUGACGAAGCGUGAGUGACGGUAAUGGGUAAAGAAGCACCGGCUAACUACGUG
RNAcentral lists this ribosomal RNA (468 nucleotides) under uncultured bacterium. RNAcentral describes it as "partial 16S ribosomal RNA". It matches the Rfam family "Bacterial small subunit ribosomal RNA", at positions 28 to 507 of the family's 1533-position model. The record is from RNAcentral.